AAAACAUGUCCUUUUGAUUAUGAUUUAAGGUCUGGCCUGCUCAAUGAGGUUUUAAAUAGCCGCGAUAACUUGAUCGUGCGAAGGUAGCAUAAUCAUUAGUUUUUUAAUUGAAAACUGGAAUGAAGGGUCGGACGAGAUUGGGGCUGUCUCAGAUUUAUUAUAUUGGAACUUUAUUUUUAGGUUAAAAAGCCUAAAUAUUUCUUAAAGACGAGAAGACCCUAUAGAGUUUUAUAUUUUUAUUUAAUGAGUGUUUUUGGUAUUAAAUUUAUUCUUUAGUUUAAAAUUAUUUAGUUGGGGUGAUUGAAUAAAUGGUUAAACUUCUUUUUUUUAUUACACUAAUUUGUGAAUUGAUGAUCCACUUUUUGUGAUUAGAAGAUUAAAUUACCUUAGGGAUAACAGCGUAAUUUCUUUUGAGAGUUCUUAUCGAAAAUGGAGUUUGCGACCUCGAUGUUGGAUUAAAGUUAAUUUUUGGCGUAGAAGUUAAAAUAUUUGGUCUGUUCGACCAUUAAAACUUUACAUGA
RNAcentral lists this ribosomal RNA (521 nucleotides) under Chrysochroa fulgidissima alternans. RNAcentral describes it as "partial 16S ribosomal RNA". It matches the Rfam family "Bacterial large subunit ribosomal RNA", at positions 1810 to 2603 of the family's 2925-position model. The record is from RNAcentral. Lineage: Eukaryota; Metazoa; Arthropoda; Insecta; Coleoptera; Buprestidae.